RNAcentral lists this ribosomal RNA (253 nucleotides) under uncultured bacterium. Its description in RNAcentral is "partial 16S ribosomal RNA". It matches the Rfam family "Bacterial small subunit ribosomal RNA", at positions 524 to 776 of the family's 1533-position model. The record is from RNAcentral.
UACAGAGGUCUCAAGCGUUGUUCGGAUUCAUUGGGCGUAAAGGGUGCGUAGGCGGCGCGGUAAGUCGGGUGUGAAAUCUUGGAGCUUAACUCCGAAACUGCAUUCGAUACUGCCGUGCUUGAGGACUGGAGAGGAGAAUGGAAUUCCCGGUGUAGCGGUGAAAUGCGCAGAUAUCGGGAGGAACACCGGUGGCGAAGGCGGUUCUCUGGGCCUUACCUGACACUGAGGAGCGAAAGCGUGGGGAGCGAACAGG